ACAGGUCCUCACACCUCUGAAGGGCUGCUUGAGAGUCUUGGCUUGGUUUUAGUGUUGAGGUUAGAAUCAGGUUUAGGUUAGGGUCAGGGUAAGGGGCUAUGGAAUGCAUCAUGUCAAUGACGGGUCCCCACGAGUGUAGUAAAACAAGGAUGGGUGUGUGUGUGUCUGCGCGCGCGCUCGAUGGCUUUGAUGUUUGAGGCGUAAUUGUGACGUGAUGAUUCUUUAUGACGAAUUCUGUUCUACAGUCAAUUUCUCACCUGAGCAGAGACAGUGAACAGAUCGAAAGAGACUUUCACCGAGAAAACUACGGCGAAAUAACUCACCAGAAUAAAGUACCCCAUUGUCUUUGAAUGGAUACUUCUGCUCUCGACAUGGAUAACAAGAUUCCAUCAGAUGAACUGGGAGAAUUGAGGUGCAGCGAUUUAGACGUUCCCCUGUUCACACCAAAUGACUUCGACCCAAUUAUCAAUUUACAUUUACUGGAUAUGACAGUUGAGCAGUGGAUGUUAUUGGCAGCUGGACAGGUAGACACUGCCUUGGCCGAUCUGCUAUCUCAAAUGUGUCAUGAGAUGGUAGAUGCGGUCAGUGUCGUAUUCCUGGAAGAAGUGAGACCCCAGGUUCUUAACUGGAUUACCCUGAAA
Long non-coding RNA from Xiphias gladius (swordfish), 641 nucleotides. RefSeq lists it as uncharacterized. The transcript is spliced from 3 exons. The record is from RefSeq and is a predicted model, not a curated record. Lineage: Eukaryota; Metazoa; Chordata; Actinopteri; Istiophoriformes; Xiphiidae.